Molecule: ribosomal RNA, 425 nt
Filed under: uncultured bacterium
Lineage: Bacteria
Description: bacterial SSU rRNA
Rfam family: Bacterial small subunit ribosomal RNA
Source: RNAcentral
GGGGAAUAUUGCACAAUGGGCGCAAGCCUGAUGCAGCCAUGCCGCGUGUGUGAAGAAGGCCUUCGGGUUGUAAAGCACUUUCAGCGGGGAGGAAGGCGAUAAGGUUAAUAACCUUGUCGAUUGACGUUACCCGCAGAAGAAGCACCGGCUAACUCCGUGCCAGCAGCCGCGGUAAUACGGAGGGUGCAAGCGUUAAUCGGAAUUACUGGGCGGAAAGCGCACGCAGGCGGUCUGUCAAGUCGGAUGUGAAAUCCCCGGGCUCAACCUGGGAACUGCAUCUGAUACUGGCAAGCUUGAGUCUCGUAGAGGGGGGUAGAAUUCCAGGUGUAGCGGUGAAAUGCGUAGAGAUCUGGAGGAAUACCGGUGGCGAAGGCGGCCCCCUGGACGAAGACUGACGCUCAGGUGCGAAAGCGUGGGGAGCAAAC